GAGCGUAGAAGUCCACCAUCCACGUCUCCGACGACUUGCGUCUCUUCACCAGCUCCUGAAAUGACUCUGGAGUCAAAGUCACCACCACAGGGUUCACCAGGUCCUGCAGAACACGCAAUCAUCUAUUACAUCUAAACAGAUCAUUUCUCACCCUCCUAAGCUUGAUGAAUCAACCAUUGGCAGGAAGUUACCAUGGCAAUGCCAUACAAGAUGUGGAUGACUUUAUUUCUUCAUUGGAACAAACUGAGAAAAAUCAACAUUACCAGUGGAUCAUCUGCAGUGAAUGGGUGCCGUCAGAAUGAGAGCAGAACAAGUCCAAACAGCGGAUAAAACCACAAUAAUCCAGAUCGAUCCAUAAAUAUGAUCCAGCGAUGCGAUACUAAACUUCUCCAAAUCAGUUCUGACAAACUCAUCUAUAUCUCGGACGACCCGAAGGUCCCUACCGUGACGCUGCCUUUCUGAGCAAGAGAACUGCCAGGGGGAAAGAGGGCAGUAGUGCUAGUGGUGAUCUCAAAGCUGUCACACAGAUCUGCCUGUUUGGAGCAGUCCAUCCAUCCGACAUUGACCAGACCGUCCUGUUGAGAGAAACAAAUAGAGGGAUCCUGCAGUCGAGGAGGCUGCAUUUAUUGAAACUAUUCAAGUUCGUCACGUCCCAGAUUAAACUGUUUACUAGCGUUACUAUACCCGCUGUGGAAGAGGUGAUGCUAAUGCCUUGUGUGCUUUUACUCCAUCAACACCAUCAGGAACAAAUGUGUAGGAUCCACGGACGUGAGAGUCAGAACCCCAUCUGGAGAUCAGCGUCUUUGAGACCUCUGGCACUGACCAG
Long non-coding RNA from Puntigrus tetrazona (Sumatra barb), 826 nucleotides. RefSeq lists it as uncharacterized. Lineage: Eukaryota; Metazoa; Chordata; Actinopteri; Cypriniformes; Cyprinidae. The transcript is spliced from 8 exons. The record is from RefSeq and is a predicted model, not a curated record.